This is a long non-coding RNA of Alligator mississippiensis (American alligator), 716 nucleotides long. RefSeq lists it as uncharacterized. The transcript is spliced from 4 exons. Lineage: Eukaryota; Metazoa; Chordata; Crocodylia; Alligatoridae. The record is from RefSeq and is a predicted model, not a curated record.
GCUGCUACCAGUCAGGAGAACACCACAUAGUUGGAGCUGCUGCUCACAACAGCUUGGAGUGCCCAAGAGCAAAGUACGACCCUACAGAGCUGGGCUUAUGAAGGUGGCGGUGGGCAUAAUUACCCUGACUUUCUUAAGGAGAAAACUUCAAGACCUGUGAAUUUGUCCUCAAGACAGAAGAAUAGCAGAGGUUUCAGCUUGAAGGAUAAAGUCAUGAGUGAGGUCUGGCCAACAAAGCAAGCAGGCUGUAUGGACUGAUGUUUCUCCGCUGUGAAAAUUGAUGAAGAGCUGGAGCUAUUUAUUCACAUAUUCUUAGUUGGCAGAAGAGUUGUGUUUUUGUUUUGUUUUGUUUUGUUUUGUUUUGCUAAAAUUGAAAGGUUGUUUGGCUUCUGUGGAAAAACAGCUAAUGGAGAAUUUGGGCCAGUAGUGAAAGAGAGACCGACUAUAAGGCAAAGAAAAAUGCUAUCCUGCACCAGAUACUAAAGACUCAUCAGCAGGUUCUAAGAAUUGCAGAGAGAAUUUAGAGACUUUGUUUCAGUAAAUAACUAAUGACAUUUUUUUUGGUAAUUUAUCUCCAAUUUUAUCCUUUUAAAGUAUGUAGAUUAUGCAUUGUCUCAAAAGUUAUCACUUGCAUCAGAUGUGAGCAUUAGUUAGUCUUUGCCAAACCAAAAGUUUCCUAUUGUAAUCUGUAAGAGUAGUAAUCAAUGGAAUAAAAA